This 206-nucleotide ribosomal RNA is filed under the name uncultured bacterium. RNAcentral describes it as "partial 16S ribosomal RNA". It matches the Rfam family "Bacterial small subunit ribosomal RNA", at positions 568 to 774 of the family's 1533-position model. The record is from RNAcentral.
UUCGUAGGCGGCGUAGUAAGUUGGAUUUGAAAUCCCGGGGCUCAACUCCGGAACCGGAUCCAAACUACUAUGCUAGAGCAGAUCAGAGGGCAGUGGAAUUCCCGGUGUAGCGGUAAUAUGCGUAGAGAUCGGGAGGAACACCAGUGGCGAAGGCGGCUGCCUGGGGUCUUGCUGACGCUGAGGAACGAAAGCUAGGGGAGCGAACG